UUUUCUGUUCGACACAAAAAAAAUUGAACACAAAAUAAAAUAUCAGUAGCAGUGUUCGUACUAACAAUUAUCGUAUCAUUUGUUCGUGUGUUUUCAUGCUUUCGUGACACUUGCGUACGGCACAGUUGUACAAUAUAAAUUGUAUGCGUAUACUAUAUUCAAAACUGGUUUUAUUAUUCCUUUUUUUUUGUUUUGUCGUUGGAAAAGGAUCAAGCGUAUCGCCUAAUAUUAUUGUCGUUCGAAUAUAGCUCAUCGACGGAAUGAUUUUCACGUGGAGGAUGUUGUUGUCGCUGAUCUUGAUAAUAUUAUCUUCAGUUCGGCUGGUGAGAGAAAGUCCAGACUUGUGAGACCACCGGACAAAGAAUUACCACAAUAGAGAUAAGAAGACUCCAGCAUGGAAUUCAACAGGCGAAAAGUUAAAAGUAGAUGGUCCCCAUCGGAUACAAUGAGCGCGAUCUUUGAAGUCGUCCGACGACUUGUGUAGGAGAUUACCUUGACUGCGUAUGACGUCCGACACGUUAUCAGACGACAAUCUAAUCAAUUUAUAAUUUGUCCGGAAACCGAAACAACCACUCCUGAUGCGGUCCAAGCUAGCGCAGGCAGUGCCGACACGAGUGUAGCAAAACAACCUGUGACGGUUGAAUGUAGCGACAAGCAACAGGCUACUCCAGCUCAAAAUUCGUCAAACACUGGUGACUGUUGUGUUUUCCUAAAAUCAUUGAGAUGGCUCGUCACUGAGCCUGUUAAGUAUUUGUGGAAGUAUAUGGUAGCGACGAAAAACAUAUUGGUUAAUCUGACCAGCACAUACAACAGCGGAAACACCGUUCGCAUAAACGCAUUGUGAUAUCUUUUCAUGUGUGGACAUGCAGUGCACUCGUAUACUAAAACGUUGUUGCAUAUACUGGCAUAAUCUGGAGGACAGAACAAACAUUACGUACGUCAUAUAUUCACAACUUGAAUUGUACAAAAUAAUUAAUAUAAUAUGAUAAACAAUUUAUAUACAGAAUUAUGUUUUCUAUCAUCGAAAAUAAUAAUUAAAAUUAUGUUAUUGUCUACUAAUUAAACGAUGUA
RNA transcript from Sipha flava (yellow sugarcane aphid), 1071 nucleotides. RefSeq lists it as uncharacterized. The record is from RefSeq and is a predicted model, not a curated record. The transcript is spliced from 6 exons. Lineage: Eukaryota; Metazoa; Arthropoda; Insecta; Hemiptera; Aphididae.